UUUGUCGUGAGACAUGCACUGAAGGAAGCGAGACUGCGGUGUCUGUACUGACGAACAGGAACCACAUACUGAGGCUAUGAGGUGGGAUGAGGUACCACAUGCUGCUGAAGUCCAAAACCUGAGGGAUCAGGAAUCAUCCCCAAAAUAGUAGAUGUGGCAGCGAUAGACACAAGGAUAUUCAC
This 182-nucleotide non-coding RNA is filed under the name Algoriphagus yeomjeoni. The record is from RNAcentral. Lineage: Bacteria; Pseudomonadati; Bacteroidota; Cytophagia; Cytophagales; Cyclobacteriaceae.